UACGAUUCUCACGAACGUUAUUCGGAAUUACUGGGCUUAAAGGGUGCGUAGGCGGUGAAGUAAGUCGGGUGUGAAAUACCAUAGCUUAACUAUGGAACUGCACUCGAUACUACUUUGCUAGAGUAAGACAGAGGUGAGUGGAACUGAGGGUGGAGCGGUGAAAUGCGUUGAUAUCCUCAGGAACACCGGUGGCGAAGGCGACUCACUGGGUCUUUACUGACGCUGAUGCACGAAAGCUAGGGUAGCAAACGGG
Molecule: ribosomal RNA, 253 nt
Filed under: uncultured bacterium
Lineage: Bacteria
Description: partial 16S ribosomal RNA
Rfam family: Bacterial small subunit ribosomal RNA
Source: RNAcentral